AAAUAUCGAGCACUGUGAGCGUGAGCUGAACGGCGAACGGAGAAAAAUCGCCGACAAUGAGUGCAGGCGCCGGUGGAGGAGGAGAACGGAGCUCGCCUGCACCUAAACCCUCAAAGUUCGCUGUGUAUCAGAAUCCAGCCUUUUCUGCUGCCCUAACAACGAGCAGUCUUCGUCCUUCCAAGUCCACUUUCGUUUCCAUAUUCAUUAUUUCCAUUGCUUCUGUAUCUACUCUUCUCAGGAGUUUUUCUAGGGAAAGCGGGAUUGCCGACAGUCUGAAAUUCAGAUAUGUUUCUCAAGAAACUGCUUGUCUUAUUGUCAGACUCAUACAGACUUUUGCAGCCAUAGUCUUAUUUGGAACCUUUCUUGCCCUUGUCAAGGCUAUUUAUUUAUGUAGAACAAAGACUGCUGAUGUGUCAAUUACGUCUCCUACCAAAGGAACAAAGGAGAAUACACGUCUGACUAAUCGACAAUUAGGGCUUUUGGGGAUUAAAACAAAUGUUGAGCAAACUGCUAUGGAGUCUUCGACAAGACCUCCCAAAUCAAGAGUUGUCUCAGCCUCUCCUUCAAAUGUCCUAGUCCCCAUUCAUCAGCCAAUUUCUAGUUCAAAACCUUCAACUAGACUUAGUAGUGACAAAGUUAGAACUGGUAGUGGAACUAAAAUACCAUCUUUUGGCACCCCAUCAAAAUCACCAGCUUCCCCAUCCUUAUAUCUUGUUUCAGCAUCUCCUUCUCAAUCACCUUCAAUCCAGUCUUCACCAGGUGGGGAAUUGGUUGCCACCCCUUGGUCGAACAAGAGAGCUACUUUCCAAAAAGAGAUUGCAACGGAGGAACAGCUUGAAAGGUUCCUGGCUGAUGUUGAUGAGAGAAUUACUGAAUCAGCAAGCAAGUUGGCAACUCCACCGCCCACCAUAAGUGGGUUUGGUGUAGUCAGUCCUAGUAACCUGCCCAGCUCCACCAAUACUUCUGGAACUCCAAGAAGUACUCCUCUAAGGCCGGUUAGGAUGUCCCCUGGUUCCCAGAAGUUCUCAACUCCACCAAAGAGAGGGGAAGGUGAUCUACCACCUCCAAUGUCAAUGGAAGAGUCCACUGAAGCAUUUGGAAAUCUGGGGAUAUAUCCACAGAUCGAGCAGUGGCGUGACCGACUCAGGCAAUGGUUUUCAUCCAUGCUGUUAAAGCCUUUGCUUAACAAAAUUGAUACUAGUCACACAAAGGUUAUGCAAGCUGCUGGCAAGCUAGGCAUUACAAUCACAGUUAGUCAAGUUGGAAAUGGAACACCUGAUACUGGGACUGCUGCUAUAUCUGCUACUGAGAGGACUAAUGAAUGGAAACCCUCAUUUUCUGUUGACGAAGACGGGUUACUUCACCAGUUGCGCAUUACUCUUGUCCAGGCUCUUGAUUCUUGCAUGUCAAAGUCAGCUUCUGGAGGUCUUCAACCAUCCUUGCCAGAGAACUCUCUGAUCCCUAUUUUACAAGAAUGCAUUGAUGCCAUCACUGAACACCAAAGACUUCAGUCCUUAAUGAAAGGAGAAUGGGGCAAAGGACUGCUGCCACAAAGCAGUGUCCGUGCAGAAUAUACAGUACAGAGGAUUCGAGAGCUUUCCGAGGGAACCUGUUUGAGGAAUUAUGAUUAUUUGGGCAGUGUAGAGGUUUAUGGAAAAGGAAACAAGAAAUGGAAUCCCGAGCUUCCAACCGAUUCUCAUUUGCUCCUAUAUUUGUUCUGUGCUUUCCUGGAGCACCCAAAG
This 1742-nucleotide unclassified non-coding RNA is filed under the name Hevea brasiliensis (rubber tree). Lineage: Eukaryota; Viridiplantae; Streptophyta; Magnoliopsida; Malpighiales; Euphorbiaceae. The record is from RNAcentral.